UGCGUAGGUGGUCAUAUUAGUCUUCUGUUAAAGACUCGGGCUCAACCCGAGGAGUGCGGAGGAAACGGUAUGACUAGAGGGUAUGAGAGGUGUGCGGAACUCAUGGUGUAGGGUGAAAUCCGUUGAUAUCAUGGGGAACACCAAAUGCGAAGGCAGCACACUGGCAUAUUCCUGACACUGAGGCACGAAAGCGUGGGUAGCGAACG
Molecule: ribosomal RNA, 206 nt
Filed under: uncultured bacterium
Lineage: Bacteria
Description: partial 16S ribosomal RNA
Rfam family: Bacterial small subunit ribosomal RNA
Source: RNAcentral